ACAGAGGGUGCGAGCGUUAAUCGGAAUUACUGGGCGUAAAGGGCGCGUAGGCGGCCCGAUAAGUCGGAUGUGAAAGCCCCGGGCUCAACCUGGGAACUGCAUACGAUACUGUCAGGCUAGAGUAUGGUAGAGGUAAGCGGAAUUCCGGGUGUAGCGGUGAAAUGCGUAGAUAUCCGGAGGAACAUCAGUGGCGAAGGCGGCUUACUGGACCAAUACUGACGCUGAGGCGCGAAAGCGUGGGGAGCAAACAGG
This 252-nucleotide ribosomal RNA is filed under the name uncultured bacterium. RNAcentral describes it as "partial 16S ribosomal RNA". It matches the Rfam family "Bacterial small subunit ribosomal RNA", at positions 525 to 776 of the family's 1533-position model. The record is from RNAcentral.